RNAcentral lists this ribosomal RNA (468 nucleotides) under uncultured bacterium. Its description in RNAcentral is "partial 16S ribosomal RNA". It matches the Rfam family "Bacterial small subunit ribosomal RNA", at positions 28 to 507 of the family's 1533-position model. The record is from RNAcentral.
GACGAACGCUGGCGGCGUGCUUAACACAUGCAAGUCGAACGGAAAGGCCCUGCUUUUGUGGGGUGCUCGAGUGGCGAACGGGUGAGUAAAACGUGAGUAACCUGCCCUUGACUUUGGGAUAACUUCAGGAAACUGGGGCUAAUACCGGAUAGGAGCUCCUGCCGCAUGGUGGGGGUUGGAAAGUUUCGGCGGUUGGGGAUGGACUCGCGGCUUAUCAGCUUGUUGGUGGGGUAGUGGCUUACCAAGGCUUUGACGGGUAGCCGGCCUGAGAGGGUGACCGGCCACAUUGGGACUGAGAUACGGCCCAGACUCCUACGGGAGGCAGCAGUGGGGAAUAUUGCACAAUGGGCGGAAGCCUGAUGCAGCAACGCCGCGUGCGGGAUGACGGGCUUCGGGUUGUAAACCGCUUUCGCCUGUGACGAAGCGUGAGUGACGGUAAUGGGUAAAGAAGCACCGGCUAACUACGUG